Molecule: long non-coding RNA, 1195 nt
Organism: Ruditapes philippinarum (Manila clam)
Lineage: Eukaryota; Metazoa; Mollusca; Bivalvia; Venerida; Veneridae
Exons: 3
Source: RefSeq, a predicted model, not a curated record
GGUGAUUGGAUGAAUGUGGGGUAUUUUUAAGUAUAAAAACUAAUUUAAAAAGUAACACUGCAUUGUUUUCUGAAGAGAAUGAAAUAUUUCAUGAGUCUCUGUGAUAAUUUUGACUUGGAUAUUUGCAUUUAUAAAAAGUGUAUGUCAGUCCUGUGAUCAGCAGAAAAUUUCAAUGAAAUGGGGGGUAAUCCUCUUUGAAGUCAUUUUGCAAAAAAUUUGGUUGGCUACCCCUAUAUAACAGGAACAUUUUUAUGUGUCAGGCAUUUCAUUCUGCUAGAAAAAUUACCUCUUUAGCAUGAAAACUCAAUUUUAAGGUAGGAUCAGGGACCAUUUCUUAUAAUGUAAGUCUAUGGAAAUAUCAAUGCGAGUGUCUGACCUAAAGAGAGGGAAAUUGGAACUGUCAUAAUUCAUUUGUUGUACUUUGUCUUCAUUGAUACGCCACGAAAAGCUGAUAUUUUGGAAGAAUGGAUGUAUACAGCCUGUCUAGAUUUCAAAGAAAUGCUGUACAUUGGAUAUACACAUGCCAGGUUUGAAGACUUAUGUAUAACUUGACAGGACCUGAUGUAAGCACAUUGGCCACUUUUGAUGGGUGUUGCAGAAUAUCCGGAAUGCAACAUAGUGGUGCCUGUUAGAAAAAAGGGAACUUCAAAGCUUUAAAUGACUUAAGAGUGGUGAAAAUGCAUCCAUAUAAUUGGUAAUUGUAUAUGCAACUUCAUUUAUUAUUAGAUAUUAGAAUACUAAACAUUUAAUAUUCCCUUUAGGUCAGGGUAACGCAUUGUAACACGGCCAGCGAUUGGCUGAAAAAAAGUGCAGGGAAAACCGUAUGAGUCAAUUUAUACAUGAGGUGAUUGGAUGAAUGUGGGGUAUUUUUAAGUAUAAAAACUAAUUUAAAAAGUAACACUGCAUUGUUUUCUGAAGAAAAUGAAAUAUUUCAUGAGUCUCUGUGAUAAUUUUGACUUGGAUAUUUGCAUUUAUAAAAAGUGUAUGUCAGUCCUGUGAUCAGCAGAAAAUUUCAAUGAAAUGGGGGGUAAUCCUCUUUGAAGUCAUUUUGCAAAAAAAUUUAGUUGGCUACCCCUAUAUAACAGGAACAUUUUUAUGUGUCAGGCAUUUCAUUCUGCUAGAAAAAUUACCUCUUUAGCAUGAAAACUCAAUUUUAAGGUAGGAUCAGGGACCAUUUCUUAUAAUGUAAGUCUAU